Molecule: long non-coding RNA, 455 nt
Filed under: Physcomitrium patens
Lineage: Eukaryota; Viridiplantae; Streptophyta; Bryopsida; Funariales; Funariaceae
Description: long non-coding RNA (PPAT_LNC003145)
Source: RNAcentral
GGGUUGUUCCUUUAAGUUUUUGUUGAAAAUUGAUGUGAUAACAUGAAGAUGGUGUGAAGUGUUUCAUGGCUUAGGAAGUCACUUGGUAGUGAUUUCUGUGAAUCGUUUGUUAAUCUUUAUGUUUUACUUCUAAGCUAUGUGAUUGUUUUUUUAAACCUAUGUGGGAAUAGAACGAUGUUUUCAAAUAGUUUGUAACUAAUAAUGAUAAAUUAAUUUUUUUUCUUAAAUAUUUCUUGAAUUUCUACUAAAAGAUGCAAAAAUUUUCAAGAUAGUUAUUUUAGAAAUAAAAAUAAAAAUAAAAUAAUGACUAAAGACAAUAGUUUUAUUUUCAAGGUACAAUAUAUUUUUUUAUAUAAAUUCAUUAUUGCAGGAUGAGUUUUUAUUAUUUUAAUAUAUACUCUGAAAUAUUCUUAUAUUUUUGUAUUAAUUUAAAACCAAUUAUAAUCCAUGUGCUU